Andrographis paniculata is the source of this 1656-nucleotide RNA transcript. It is a transcript of the gene named protein ENDOPLASMIC RETICULUM-ARRESTED PEN3, with no coding region annotated. The record is from RefSeq and is a predicted model, not a curated record. Lineage: Eukaryota; Viridiplantae; Streptophyta; Magnoliopsida; Lamiales; Acanthaceae. The transcript has 3 exons.
UGAUAUAGUAAUAUCGGAAGAAAAGUCCAAAAAUGUUGGAUGCACCGUCAAAAUGUGUAAUACCCUAAUCGCAACACUGACACCCAGAAAAGAACGAGUCUUUCUCCAACUCCAAAUCCAUACAAAGCCGCCGCCGUGAAUGGAUGACCGGAAUUCCUCCCCCACAACCACAGCCGGCGGCGGGGAUAGCGGCGAACGGAUUAAGCUCAACGUCGGAGGCAAGCUCUUCGAGACAACCGUCUCCACUCUCCGGUCGGGAGGUCCGGAUUCCCUCUUGUUCGCCCUCUCAAACCGGCCGGCGCAUGAUGCCGUUUUCAUCGACAGGGACCCGGAAAUUUUCUCCAUCCUCCUCUCCCUCCUCCGCUCCAAUCGCCUCCCCUCCACCGCCAAAGGCUUCUCAAAUCAAGAGCUGAUCGACGAGGCCCUGUACUUCGGCAUCGAGUCCCAACUCAAGGCAGCGCUCGCCCCAAUUCCUUUCAAUGGCAUAGGCGCUUCUCUAUUCACCACCGUUAAACCCUCCUCCGACGGCGUCGUUUCCGACUUCAACGCCAUCGACUCGGAUGGAUCGUUGUGGAUGGCCCACGGCGGGCAGAUUUCCGUCUACGAUUGGAACCUAACCCACACGGCAACAGUGCGUACGCAUUUUGAUUUCAUCGAUUCGGUGAAGAGAAUCCGGCCGGAGAUUGCUGCCGUCGGGUCCUCCAAUGCAUCGGGCUUACAUAUCUUUAACAUGGCUGACGGGCGACGAAUCCACUCGGUCGAUUGGGUUGACCCCUCCGAUGUGAGGAUAUACAAGGCCCGAGUUCACGCGAUCGCUGACUCGGAGGAUUCUGUAUUCGCUUCCUACGAUUGCCAACAUGGGGAGAAUUGCAUUUUAAUGAUCGACAAAUCGACAAUGAAGAUUUCGUCCGAGUUCGGGAGAAUGUCCGGCAGUUCCACGAAACAGCAGGUCCCUUCGAAGCUCAAGUACAUUUCAGACAUUGGGCUUUUGUUUGGUAGUUCUGUGACUUCAGGACCGUUUGGGUGUUCAGGCUACAUUCGGUUAUGGGACCCGAGAACCCAAAAUGUUGUCUGGGAAGCCAACGAGCCAGGCUCCGGGAGGAGCAGCCGAUUUGGGGAUUCCUUUGCGGCUGCAGAUGUCGAUUUGGACGAGUUGUUGCUCUUCAAGGUUUGCUCCACCUCAGGAGAUGUGGGCAUGGCGGAUUUGCGGAAAUUGAGCGACGAUCCAUGGAUUUAUUUGAAAGAAAAGAAUCCAAGCAUGAGGAGUGCAAGAGGGAUUAGUAUUGGCAGUUUCGUCUUGCAUUGUUACCGAAAGCAAGUGUUGGUAGGGAGUGAUGGCGAGCUGGAGGUGUGGUCGAGGGUGGAGGGCAAUGGGAACUCGGAGGAGAUUGCAGUUGAAGAUUUAUAUAGGAGGAACUACGUGGAUAAAGUGGAGGAUUCGGAGAGAGGUGUCAUCAAGAAAAUAGAAGGAGGUUGGGAUAGGCUUUUUGUGACUAGAGAAGAUGUCGAGGGGAUUGAGACUUGAAGUCGUCGACGUCCCAACACCAACCAUUGUAUGAAGGCAUGAGAUUUUCUUCACAAAUCCUAUUCAGCCUAUUUCUUGAGUCUCUCUUCUACGCGCUCAGCUGCAAAAACUGAAAAAUAAAGGGUUGACAU